Molecule: non-coding RNA, 71 nt
Organism: Hypoxylon fuscum
Lineage: Eukaryota; Fungi; Ascomycota; Sordariomycetes; Xylariales; Hypoxylaceae
Source: the annotation of a GenBank genome assembly
AGCUUCAUGGCUAGUGGUAGCACACCAGGUGUAUAACUUGGACAUCCCACGUUCGAUUCGGAGUGGAGCUG